This 170-nucleotide ribosomal RNA is filed under the name uncultured rumen bacterium. RNAcentral describes it as "partial 16S ribosomal RNA". It matches the Rfam family "Bacterial small subunit ribosomal RNA", at positions 340 to 524 of the family's 1533-position model. The record is from RNAcentral.
UACGGGAGGCAGCAGUUAGGAAUAUUGGGCAAUGGAGGAAACUCUGACCCAGCAACGCCGCGUGAAGGAAGAAGGUUUUCGGAUUGUAAACUUCUGAUCUGUGGAAAAAAGAGAGUGAUGGUACCACAGGAGCAAGCCACGGCUAACUACGUGCCAGCAGCCGCGGUAAU